UCUACACUCAGUUUCCUAUUUGAUAUCUCCAUGGCACAAGCUCUGUAGAUAACUUCCCUUAAUAGUGUUUCACCCCCAACAGUAGACACAAAUAAUAAUGAAUCAAGUUUAUCAAGUGAUACAUUAAGUUUGGAAGCAAAAACAUGUGAAAUAAAUGAAUGCAAUGCACCAGUGUCAAAUAAAACAUGAGCAAUAUGGUCACAGAUAGUGUACAUACCCUGUACCAUAUCCGGGUCGGCGUCGGCAUCCUACUAGGUAAGGUUGUAAACCCUACCCUGAAAAGGAGGUCUUCCUUGGUUCUGGUUCCUCGGGCACUAUCUCGCAUAGUGCUGGGCACUGCCAUAUAUGCAACAGGUGUUGUUGAGGCGGUAGCAUGGUCGGUCCCCCUGAUCCCUGCCAUAGUGCUGGCAGAUCUUUCCACGUGCUACCCCUGGAGCCUGAGGAGGGACCUGGAUCACUGGUCUGGGCCUUUUAUUUGGUUGGACCGGUGUACUAAGUGCUGGUCUGCGGGGUGGAGCUGAGGGUCGGUGACUCCCUGCUGACUGAGGAUGGGUGUUGAAACUCCUCUCCACAAUCAAGUGUUGCUUGAUUUCUGGGCGGAGGCCCCACUAGAAUCUCCUGACCUUCCUGCCUUCAUCCUUCAAUGUCUCUGGGGAGUAUUGGCCUAGCUCUAGGAACUUACUAGCAUAUUUCAAUACCGUCAUGUUUUCCUGAACCAACUGAACA
Molecule: long non-coding RNA, 726 nt
Filed under: Carica papaya (papaya)
Lineage: Eukaryota; Viridiplantae; Streptophyta; Magnoliopsida; Brassicales; Caricaceae
Description: long non-coding RNA (CPAP_LNC001960)
Source: RNAcentral